AAUCAAUGAUGAAACCUAUCCCGAAGCUGAUUGCCUGAAGAAAAGCAUAAACGGAUUCGGCUUCUGAAAU
This is a small nucleolar RNA of Eptesicus fuscus (big brown bat), 70 nucleotides long. RefSeq annotates it as small nucleolar RNA SNORD50. The record is from RefSeq and is a predicted model, not a curated record. NCBI's taxonomy places the organism in Eukaryota, Metazoa, Chordata, Mammalia, Chiroptera, Vespertilionidae. The transcript has a single exon.